ACACAUGCAAGUCGAACGGUAACGCGGGGCAACCUGGCGACGAGUGGCGAACGGGUGAGUAAUGCAUCGGAACGUGCCCAGUAGUGGGGGAUAGCCCGGCGAAAGCCGGAUUAAUACCGCAUACGACCUACGGGUGAAAGGGGGGGAUCGCAAGACCUCUCGCUAUUGGAGCGGCCGAUGUCAGAUUAGGUUGUUGGUGAGGUAAAGGCUCACCAAGCCGACGAUCUGUAGCUGGUCUGAGAGGACGACCAGCCACACUGGGACUGAGACACGGCCCAGACUCCUACGGGAGGCAGCAGUGGGGAAUUUUGGACAAUGGGCGCAAGCCUGAUCCAGCCAUGCCGCGUGCGGGAAGAAGGCCUUCGGGUUGUAAACCGCUUUUGUCGGGGAAGAAAUCUUCUGGGCUAAUACCCCGGGAGGAUGACGGUACCCGAAGAAUAAGCACCGGCUAACUACGUGCCAGCAGCCGCGGUAAUACGUAGGGUGCAAGCGUUAAUCGGAAUUACUGGGCGUAAAGCGUGCGCAGGCGGUGAUGCAAGACAGAUGUGAAAUCCCCGGGCUUAACCUGGGAACUGCAUUUGUGACUGCAUCGCUGGAGUGCGGCAGAGGGGGAUGGAAUUCCGCGUGUAGCAGUGAAAUGCGUAGAUAUGCGGAGGAACACCGAUGGCGAAGGCAAUCCCCUGGGCCUGCACUGACGCUCAUGCACGAAAGCGUGGGGAGCAAACAGGAUUAGAUACCCUGGUAGUCCACGCCCUAAACGAUGUCAACUGGUUGUUGGACGGCUUGCUGUUCAGUAACGAAGCUAACGCGUGAAGUUGACCGCCUGGGGAGUACGGCCGCAAGG
RNAcentral lists this ribosomal RNA (844 nucleotides) under uncultured bacterium. RNAcentral's name for it is "bacterial SSU rRNA". It matches the Rfam family "Bacterial small subunit ribosomal RNA", at positions 51 to 893 of the family's 1533-position model. The record is from RNAcentral.